Molecule: ribosomal RNA, 440 nt
Filed under: uncultured bacterium
Lineage: Bacteria
Description: partial 16S ribosomal RNA
Rfam family: Bacterial small subunit ribosomal RNA
Source: RNAcentral
CCUACGGGUGGCAGCAGUAGGGAAUUUUCGGCAAUGGGGGGAACCCUGACCGAGCAACGCCGCGUGAGCGAAGAAGUAUUUCGGUAUGUAAAGCUCUAUCAGCAGGGAAGAAAAUGACGGUACCUGAGUAAGAAGCUCCGGCUAAAUACGUGCCAGCAGCCGCGGUAAUACGUAUGGAGCAAGCGUUAUCCGGAUUUACUGGGCGUAAAGGGAGCGUAGGCGGCCUGCCAAGUCUGAUGUGAAAUACCGGGGCUCAACCCCGGGGCUGCAUUGGAAACUGGCAGGCUGGAGUGCCGGAGAGGCAGGCGGAAGUGCUAGUGUAGCGGUGAAAUGCGUAGAUAUUAGGAGGAACACCAGUGGCGAAGGCGGCCGGCUGGACGGUGACUGACGCUGAGGCUCGAAAGCGUGGGGAGCAAACAGGAUUAGAUACCCGUGUAGUC